AGAACUGCCUUUUAUUAACUUUAUACAGUAGAAGUUUUUUGGAUUGCCAAUUUUUAAAUGAAAAGUAUGCUUACAGUGAUUGCACUUGAAGUUACAGCAGCCUUCCCUGUUUCAUAUGUUGAGUGUUUAUCUCAAACUGGUAAAAACUUCCAAAAAUGGAAGGACAGUGCGAGUGUCAUAACACAUGAAUUAUUAGGAAAUAUGGAGAUUGAGCAAAAAUGAAACAAUUUUCCUGAGAGAGAUCUUACUUUUCAUCUAGCUUUAUUUAAAACUUUCGCUUCUAAUCUGAUUUUAGUCAGUACUGUUGGGGUUUUUAACUUUUUACAUUGAAAGCUUUUUUUUUAACUGAUGGAUUAUGAGAUGACCCCCACCCCAGGGCAUUCAAGUGGUCUGCUCUUGGCUCCAGUGGGGCCAAGCCCCCACAGCUGAUACAGUUUAUUAUAUAUUAUUUGUAUUACCGUAGCACCUAGGAGCUCUAGUCUUGUGCUGGGUCCUGAACAAACAAAAACAGUCCCUGGUCCCAGGAGUUUGCAAUCUAAGUACAAGACAAGAGAUAACAGAUGGAUGCAGACAGACUGGGGAGUACAAGGCAACAGAGAGACAGCAUUGGUCAACAUAAUAGGGAGUGAGGCUGCUGGUAUGCAGAAACAGCAGUCAUUAAGUUUUUUGUAGGGAUCACAGUAAAGGAGAGUUUUAAGGAGAGAUUUGAAGGUAGGUAAUGCAGUAGUCUUGCAGAUGUUUAUGGGGACUGCCUCCCAAACAUGUUGGGGUAGCAUGGGAGGAAGCAUGAAAGUAUGUUUGAAAAUUUAACAGUUGGGCAAGAGAGACUACUCUUAUGGGCCAAUUGGAGGUGAAUACUGACCGCUAAAUAGCAAAUGAGAGAUGAUAGCUCGUGUGGGGAUGGACUGUAAAGGGCCUUGAAAGUAAAUACCAACAGCUUAUGUUAGAUUGGAUAGAAAGGGGGGAACCAACGAGUGGAUUCAAGAGGUGACAUCAAAGUGACAGGUUAAGAAAAUGAUCUUUGAAGCUGUAUUCUGAAUGAAUGUGAGCAGGGUAAAAUUGCAUUUGUGAAGACCAGAGAGAAAGAUGUUGCAGUAAUCAAGAUGUGAGGUGAUGAGAGAGUGUGGCUGAGAGUUUUAGCUGUGUGGAUGAAUAGAAAGGCUGUAUCUUAGAGAUUUAUGCAGAAAGAAUCACCAAGAUUUAGAUAUAGCCUGGAUAUAAGGAUCUAAAGACAGGUCCAAGUUGAAGGUUACGGGCCUGAGGCCUUGUCAACACUACAGGGGAAAUUGGAUCUCAGUUACGCAAUUUGAGUUACAUGAAUAGCGUAACUCAGAUCGACGUAACUUUGAUCCUACUUGCCGUGGGGUCCAUACUACACGAUGUCGACGAGAGACACUCUCCCGUCGACUCCCCCUACUCUUCUCGAUCCGGUGGAGUAUAGGAGUCGACGGAAGAGUGAUCUGUGGUUGAUUUAGUGGGUCUUCACUAGACCUGCUAAAUCGACCACCGAUGCGUCGAUCGCCACUCAUCGAUCCCUCCGUAAGUGUUCACAAGCCCUGAGUGACAAUACAGAUGGUGGUGGUGUCCAUAGUGACUCAGAGAGGAGGUAGUGAGGAGGGUUUUUUGGGGAGAAGAUUGAGAUCUGUUUUUGCAGUGGUGGGCUUGAGCUGUCAGGUGGGCAUCCGUGAGAUGGCAGAGAGACAGGCUAGGAUUUAGUCCGUACAGAAGGAGACCGGUCUGGAGUAGAUCUGUUGAAUCGUCAGCAAGAGAAGAUAGUUGAAUUUUUGUUUGUGGAUGAGAUUUCCCAGAGAUAAGGUACAGAGGAAGAAGAGAAGGGGACCAAGGACAGAGUCCUAUGGAACCCCCACAGACAGCUGGAGAGCAGAGGAAAAGGUUCCUCCAAAGGACAUACUGAAGGAAUGACUAGAGAAGUAGGAGGUGAACAAGGAGAAGCAGAGUGACAGAAGCCAAGGGAGGACAAGAAUUCAAGAACAUCGUCAACUGUGUAAAAGAUGGCUGAUCAAGGAGCAUGAGGAUGGAGUACUAGUUCAGAACCCAUCUGUGACGUGGGAGAAGGAGAUGUGAGUUGUAGAAGGGGAAGGAAGAACGUUCUAUUUUGUCAGUUUUCUCUUGGAAGAAAUUGCCAAGAAUCUGCAUGAAGAGGGACGUGGAGGCAGUUGAAAUUCUUGUCUUUGUCACUUUAUUUAGGUGUAAUUAUUUUCCUUAAUCUUUUUAAACCAUCACUUUCCCUGUGUAAAAAGGCAGACUGAGCGUAAGCCUAUACAGCAAAGGAAAACCCGUGGCUGGCCCUUGCCAGCUGACUCGGGCUUGGGCCAUGGGGCUGUUCCUUUGUCAUGUAGACUUCCAGGCUUGGGAUGGUGCAUGAGCCCUGUGAGCCUGAAUCGACUGGGAUGAGCCAGCUGCAGGUUUUUCUUUGCUGUGUAGACAUACCCUUAGACAUCUGCAGCUGGCCUGUGCCAGCUGACUUGGGCGUAGGCUAAGGGGCUGUAACUGUGGUGUAGAUGUUCAGGCUCAGGCUGCAGUCCAAAUUCUGGGACCCUCCCCCCUUGCAGGGUACAAGAGAUGGGCUUGAGCCCAAAUAUCUACAUUGCAGUUAAAUAUCCCUGCGCGCCUAAGUCAGCGGGCACAGGCCAACCAUGGAUUUUUAAUUGUAGUGUAGACAUACCCUUGUUGUCUUCCUAAUGGUCGUCAGGGAACAUUAGUGUUAAGUGCUUCUCCAAGGACGAAAGCACGUUACCUUCUGCUCCCCUAACUUCCAUCAAAAUGAGCAAAAAUAUCAAGGUAAUUCCCAAACUCAUUUCCCCUUUUAGAAACAUGAGGUUACCAUUAACUCUUCAGCCAACUUUUUAAGAAAAUGUGAACACUUAUGGGGAAACUACAACUGGAAUAAUAUAAAGAAUGAAAACUUUGACUAAGAAUCGUGACAUAUUUAUCACAAGUGGUAGCUUUCUGAAUGUUUGGAAUAUGAAGGGUGAGAUUCUGAUCUAUGAUUUAUCAAAGCUGCCCAAAAUCUUGCUUGUAUGCAAAAGGCCUAUAAAGGAGCUCCUUAAGCCAUUUUUGUCUUCCUUUGUGCGCUUGUUCAGUGGUUGGACCUAAAGAGGCAAUAUGAUGUAGCUGACUGAGCACAGGACAAAGAAUCUGAAUUCUGUUCAUUGCUCUGCCAAUGGUUUGUUAUGUAGCCUUAAGCAAGACUCUUAAUCUCUCUCUUCCAGUGUUUUCAUAGCUGCAAAGUGAGAAUAAUUCUUAAUCCUGAAACAUGCUAUUGAGCUAGAAAUAUGUUUGAGUUUAGUUGAACAUUAAUUUGCACAGAACUUUGAAGAUGUCAGGCAUUAAAAGGCGCUGUCUAUACUAGAGAAAUUUGGACUACUGGCAUGCCUGUAACAUACCCAUAUGUCCACACAAACUUACUCACAUUGGUUCACAGACAGUCUCACACUUAGAUUGUACUUCCUCUGGUCAAGACAAGUCACAAUGUUGGGCUCCACUAAUGCAGUGCUAGCUGAUUAUGAAGCAAGUCUUGGAAGAAGCCAUCGUACGAGGACACUCUGCCCUGCUGGCCCAAGGCAGAUGUCUGGGAGACAAAAUGGUUGUCGCAGUUGAAACUCUGUAAUUUGGUACACUCUUGUCCCUGAAAAGCAGGGUAUUGCUUGCUCUGAGAAACAGAGAAAGGAAAAAACAAAAAUGUUGAUGGUCCAAUCCAGUAUGGGCCAAGGUAACAUCCACUUCGGGGCAGACAUGAAAAUGUCUUUCAAUGAACCAGUCCCUGUCAUUGGGCCUUUUCCAUCUGUGGAGAAGGAGGUACUAUCGGACAGCAUCUAGACACCCAGUAUAAGGCUUGUAAGGAUGCGAAUGGAGGACACCAUUAGGAUGGUUGAGUCCAAGGCAAGAGAUAUUUGAAAACCAAGAGGUGCUGGAAACCAUGCUGGGAUCACAGGACCUAUUAAGAAUUUCUGGAGUUGCUAGUGAAGAUUGUUCAGGUGGAAGAGGACUCUGGAGAUGAGGGGACUUCUGUAUAAGUGACUACUUUUGCCCCAAGAGCAUCACAGAGCAGAAAAGGAACCAGGAAUCCAGGAACACAAGUAGUCGAGUGCUUGACCAUCUUCUGGGGAAGGAAAGUGAAAAUGAGAUCUUCCUUCAUGUUUGUUGGUUUUGGUUUGGUUCUUUUAAGCACCACUCUUACCGAGUUUGAGGAACCACAUACCAACAUUUUAUUUUUUAUUUUUAAGACAACAGAUUUAACCAAGAGAACAGAAUAUCAAUGAAUAAAUGUACAUCAUGGUAGAGGAAUGAAGCUGCAGGAGCAAGAGAUACAUGAGGAGUUCUUGAAAGAAUACUUGCAUGUGCAAAGACAGCAAGCAGUCUUAUCCCAACAGUAGUCCUCUGCACUUGUUAAAUAUGUACCACAUCCUCAGGACAAUACCAUGGUACAGGAGAGUAGCAGCUUUUGUUGGGCUGCCACCUAAACUUGUAUUCUCCCUUCCAUCUGUUCUCAUAGCACUCCACUUGUGCAGGCAAUCAAGACAAAGAGAAUGGGAAUCCCCAGCACAUGACUUUCUUGUCUCUGCAGUCUGGAAAUAUUUCAUUGUUGCUUUUUGUAUUUUCAGUGGCUUAUUUUUGCCGUUGUGGGCUUAAUAAAUUUGAUUUGUGCCUUUUA
Caretta caretta (loggerhead turtle) is the source of this 4675-nucleotide long non-coding RNA. RefSeq lists it as uncharacterized. The record is from RefSeq and is a predicted model, not a curated record. Lineage: Eukaryota; Metazoa; Chordata; Testudines; Cheloniidae.